RNAcentral lists this ribosomal RNA (381 nucleotides) under uncultured bacterium. RNAcentral describes it as "bacterial SSU rRNA". It matches the Rfam family "Bacterial small subunit ribosomal RNA", at positions 362 to 758 of the family's 1533-position model. The record is from RNAcentral.
UAUUGGACAAUGGGCGAAAGCCUGAUCCAGCAAUGCCGCGUGAGUGAUGAAGGCCUUAGGGUUGUAAAGCUCUUUUACCCGGGAUGAUAAUGACAGUACCGGGAGAAUAAGCUCCGGCUAACUCCGUGCCAGCAGCCGCGGUAAUACGGAGGGAGCUAGCGUUGUUCGGAAUUACUGGGCGUAAAGCGCACGUAGGCGGCUUUGUAAGUUAGAGGUGAAAGCCUGGAGCUCAACUCCAGAAUUGCCUUUGAUACUGCAUCGCUUGAAUCCAGGAGAGGUGAGUGGAAUUCCCGGGUGUAGAGGUGAAAUUCGUAGAUAUUCGGAAGCAACACCAGUGGCGAAGGCGGCUCACUGGACUGGUAUUGACGCUGAGGUGCGAAA